Long non-coding RNA from Prunus persica (peach), 653 nucleotides. RefSeq lists it as uncharacterized. The transcript has 2 exons. The record is from RefSeq and is a predicted model, not a curated record. NCBI's taxonomy places the organism in Eukaryota, Viridiplantae, Streptophyta, Magnoliopsida, Rosales, Rosaceae.
GAGAGAGCACUUUCAUCUAGUACGAAUGUUAACGCCGUUAAUGGGGAAUUCCCUCUCUCUUCUUUUUUGUUUCUUCGAAGAAAAGAAAAGAUAAACCCAACACCUUUUUCAGCCAGAAAACUAUGGAUAAUGGUAGAUCAAAAUCACCCAUCCUUAUUUUAUUCUUCUCCUCUUUUUCUUACGAUCUUUGUUGAUUUUGUUUCCCGAUUUUUGCAGAUUUUUUCUUUCUUUUUCUUUUUCUAAUUUUUGCACUAUAUUUCCAAUUUUUUCCUUGUUAGUUCCUCAAUUUUGUUUUGGACGAAGACUUAUGCGAGAUCUCAUCCCCAGGCUACAACUCCUCUUCUCGAAGUUUGAAAAGUUCCAAUUUCUAGGUUUAGCACCUGCCUCGAUAUGACUCUCUGUAUUCAUUUAUUUCUGGUAGUCUUUUGGUUUAAGUUUCUUCAAAAAAAAUUUGAAUCUGAAUCUUAAUGCAAUUUUUUGUUUUAUACGUUUGGCAUGGUUUGCUUCACUUUUGGGGUUUUGAUUUUGUUUCUAUUUUAUAUGGAAUGUCUUGAGUUGUGAGAUGGCAGUAGUUUGAUUUAGAUUUGUUUUUCGUAGCAUAACUUGUAGAUUGAAAAAUGAUCUAGCACUAUUGGGGUUUUAUUCUUCUUGCA